RNAcentral lists this long non-coding RNA (1039 nucleotides) under Struthio camelus australis. RNAcentral's name for it is "lncRNA (ENSSCUG00000016727.1)". The record is from RNAcentral. Lineage: Eukaryota; Metazoa; Chordata; Aves; Struthioniformes; Struthionidae.
AGGGGAUCAAUAUGCAACAGCCUCUCAAGAAGCUAUGUCCUUCAUCUUAUUUCUCAUCAGCAGAUGGGAAAUGAAAAUCUGAUCUGUCAUCAGUCACAUAGUGCAUCUGAAAGAUUACUGAAGAAGUUUAUUACUGCAGAAUAUUACUCCAGAAGUUGGAGGUUUGUCUUUUCUACAGUAUCUGACUGGCUUCAAGAGACAUCAUCUGUGAUUAGCCGUAUCUUCACAAAGAGUAUCCUGCGCUUUUAGUUACCCUGUGGUGCCUGUUCACAGCCGAUCCUCAGAAACAUCAACGUAAGUACAGAGUAAUAGGUAGGAUAUACUCUAUAUCCAGAGUUUACAUUUGCUUUACAUGUGUAAAAAUAACAGUAGAAUAUAUCUACUAGGUGACAGUUGGUUAAGUGAGAAUCCUAGUUUCAUUGCUCUAAAUUUCACUGUAUCUAUAUCGCUUCGUCACCUUGUAGUCAAUUGCCAAUGAGCUUUAUCCAUCCCAACUUAACAACGGUAAAAGUAUUUAUCCCAUAGGCUUCUGCCAGUUUUGCACCCCCCCUUCCCUGAGCCCUGCUUGCUCUGUGCCUUGUGUAAAGUUGGUGGAAAAUACAGUCCGCCUGGGGUGGCCCAUGAAGUUUGCCCCAGGGCAAAAUUAAAAAUGCCUCAAAUCUGGAUUUCCCCAGAGUAGUAGGUGCUUUUGCCUAUCGUAUACUGAAUAUGCACGGAAAGCUACAGUUUGAGCUCUUGUGCACUCUACAGAGCCGUUUCAGCAAUCACUUUGCAGGGUCUGGCCGAGGGAGAGCUGACUUUCUUUGCAUAGCGAAACUCCAGUUUUGACCGGAGUUGUGAGUAUGUAUAUGUGUGUGUGCGGAGGUGGGGGGGGGGUCUCACAUUCCAGCAAAAAAACGUGAAAUAAGGUCUGUUUUGGGUAGAGGGUUGAAACAAUAGUUACAUCAGCAAUUGAAUAUGAAGUCAUCGGAGUUAAAGGUCCAGCUUAUCUGCAGAGCAGACUUAGGGCAAGGAAAGGGUGGGUGAUAAGGCGUCUGGU